CCUACGGGAGGCAGCAGUGGGGAAUAUUGCACAAUGGGGGAAACCCUGAUGCAGCGACGCCGCGUGCGGGAGGAAGUAUUUCUGUAUGUAAAGCUCUAUCAGCAGGGAAGAAAAUGACGGUACCUGACUAAGAAUCCCCGGCUAACUCCGUGCCAGCAGCCGCGGUACUACGGAGGGGGCAGGCGUUAUCCGGAUUUACUGGGUGUAAAGGGAGCGUAGACGGCUAGUCAAGUCAGAAGUGAAAGCCCAGGGCUCAACCUUGGGACUGCUUUUGAAACUGAGUAGCUAGAGUGCAGGAGAGGUAAGCGGAAUGCCUAGUGUAGCGGUGAAAUGCGUAGAGAUUAGGAGGAACACCAGUGGCGAAGGCGGCUUACUGGACUGUAACUGACGUUGAGGCUCGAAAGCGUGGGGAGCAAACAGGAUUAGAUACCCCAGUAGUC
This 440-nucleotide ribosomal RNA is filed under the name uncultured bacterium. RNAcentral describes it as "partial 16S ribosomal RNA". It matches the Rfam family "Bacterial small subunit ribosomal RNA", at positions 338 to 795 of the family's 1533-position model. The record is from RNAcentral.